AUUGAACGCUGGCGGCAGGCCUAACACAUGCAAGUCGAACGGCAGCACAGAAGAGCUUGCUCUUUGGGUGGCGAGUGGCGGACGGGUGAGUAAUGUCCGGGAAACUGCCCGAUGGAGGGGGAUAACUACUGGAAACGGUAGCUAAUACCGCAUAACGUCGCAAGACCAAAGUGGGGGACCUUCGGGCCUCACACCAUCGGAUGUGCCCAGAUGGGAUUAGCUAGUAGGUGGGGUAAUGGCUCACCUAGGCGACGAUCCCUAGCUGGUCUGAGAGUAUGACCAGCCAAACUGGAACUGAGACACGGUCCAGACUCCUACGGGAGGCAGCAGUGGGGAAUAUUGCACAAUGGGCGCAAGCCUGAUGCAGCCAUGCCGCGUGUAUGAAGAAGGCCUUCGGGUUGUAAAGUACUUUCAGCGGGGAGGAAGGCGGUGAGGUUAAUAACCUUGCCGAUUGACGUUACCCGCAGAAGAAGCACCGGCUAACUCCGUGCCAGCAGCCGCCGUAA
Molecule: ribosomal RNA, 506 nt
Filed under: uncultured bacterium
Lineage: Bacteria
Description: partial 16S ribosomal RNA
Rfam family: Bacterial small subunit ribosomal RNA
Source: RNAcentral